AACGCGAAGAACCUUACCUGGAUUUGACAUCCCGUUGAAUAUUUUUAGAGAUAGAAGUAGUCUCGCAAGAGACAGCGGAGACAGGUGCUGCAUGGCUGUCGUCAGCUCGUGUUGUGAAAUGUUGGGUUAAGUCCCGCAACGAGCGCAACCCCUGCUUUUGGUUGCCAUCAUUAAGUUGGGCACUCCAGAAGGACUGCCGUCGUUAAGACGGAGGAAGGUGGGGAUGACGUCAAGUCCUCAUGGCCUUUAUAUCCAGGGCGACACACGUGAUACAAUGGUAGGUACAAAGGGUAGCGAAGUGGUGACAUGAAGCCAAUCUCAAAAAACCUAUCUCAGUUCGGAUUGGAGUCUGCAACUCGACUCCAUGAAGUUGGAAUCGCUAGUAAUCGCGGAUCAGAACGCCGCGGUGAAUACGUUCCCGGGCCUUGUACACACCGAUACUC
RNAcentral lists this ribosomal RNA (443 nucleotides) under uncultured bacterium. Its description in RNAcentral is "bacterial SSU rRNA". It matches the Rfam family "Bacterial small subunit ribosomal RNA", at positions 958 to 1398 of the family's 1533-position model. The record is from RNAcentral.